GCUUCUUUCAUCGGUAUUGAUUAUGGCAUGUCAAUUGCACUGCUUGUUAUGGUUAACCUGCUAAAUGUCCUUCCAGUAAACUACCAGUGGGUGACAUUGAUAAUAGAUAACACUUGAAGUGCCAAUUUAUCUUCCAUCUAGUCAAGGUUGAUUUUUGAGAUACAAAACUGAACUGCUACCCUCCAGAAGAUUUAGGUCGUUCAUUGUUCAAAGAAACUAUGUAGCGUUUUGAUUAGUUCUAUGAUACUUGUGGCAUUUCGGAUAUUCCUCGAGAACUUGCUGAACUUGGAUUUUGGGUCUCUCUUGGGAGAGCAGUUAGUCUAUGAUUCACUGUUAUCCUCUUGUAUGGUAAAUAAAUCUCCCUACUUGUAUGGUAAAUAAAGCUCCUUUUGGUCA
Long non-coding RNA from Phragmites australis (common reed), 396 nucleotides. RefSeq lists it as uncharacterized. The record is from RefSeq and is a predicted model, not a curated record. The transcript has 3 exons. NCBI's taxonomy places the organism in Eukaryota, Viridiplantae, Streptophyta, Magnoliopsida, Poales, Poaceae.